Long non-coding RNA from Oncorhynchus nerka (sockeye salmon), 564 nucleotides. RefSeq lists it as uncharacterized. The record is from RefSeq and is a predicted model, not a curated record. Lineage: Eukaryota; Metazoa; Chordata; Actinopteri; Salmoniformes; Salmonidae. The transcript has 4 exons.
CUCCCACCUGUCUGAUUUGUCUUCUCUCCCAAGGCACAGCGGUGUUUCAAAGAGCCGUUCCCAAGAAGGAGAUGAUGCAACAAUCUAAACAACGGUCAGGUCAGGAACAGGAAGCAGGCUCUAACAACAGGGGGGCCAGGAGGAGGAGGAUGUAUGAGCAGCUGCCAGAGGUGCAGAGGAGGAGAGAGGAGGAGAAGAGGAGAGAGGAGUACCGCUCUUACAGACUCAACGCUCAGCUCUACAACAAGAGAAUCACCAACAGAGUCCUGGGCAGACAGACACCCUGGCAGUGAGCGCCUAGGAGGACUUUUACACUUGAUUCCGUGUACGUGUGCUGUGGAAUAAAAUACAAUGUAGAUCAAUUGUUUACAUUUUUUUUUUACGUUUUAUUCCGAUCUGCUGCAAGCUUCCAUUUUGUUCACCUUUUUAAACACAUUAUGAAGUGAAAAGUAAAUAAUAUGUCUGUUUCUAAAGAGACAGGGUCAUAAUUGGUGUGUAAUUUAAAUACUUAUUAUUAUAGUUUUUUUUAUGGGGAAAAUAUAAAUAAACAUGCUUUCUACACUC